This 270-nucleotide long non-coding RNA is filed under the name Gallus gallus (chicken). Lineage: Eukaryota; Metazoa; Chordata; Aves; Galliformes; Phasianidae. The record is from RNAcentral.
GUGAGGAUCUUAGUGCAAACUUGCUGGAACUGCUUAGGGAAGGGAACACCUAUUCUGGUGGGGAAGAUGUCCUCGUUGUUAAUGAGCAUCUCAAUCCAGUCCAUCAGCAUACACAUGUACUGCGGGGCUGACAGCUUGGUUGGCUUCUUGUACUUGCUGUCGUCCUGCCACCUGUACUCAUACUUGAGCCCACCCGACAUGAUAGGGCAGCUCUUCUCCGUGCAGUACUCCGACAUGGUGCCGUAGAUGAGGUUGAUGCGGUUGAAGAAG